RNAcentral lists this ribosomal RNA (455 nucleotides) under Streptococcus mitis. RNAcentral describes it as "bacterial SSU rRNA". It matches the Rfam family "Bacterial small subunit ribosomal RNA", at positions 28 to 476 of the family's 1533-position model. The record is from RNAcentral. Lineage: Bacteria; Bacillati; Bacillota; Bacilli; Lactobacillales; Streptococcaceae.
GACGAACGCUGGCGGCGUGCCUAAUACAUGCAAGUAGAACGCUGAAGGAGGAGCUUGCUUCUCUGGAUGAGUUGCGAACGGGUGAGUAACGCGUAGGUAACCUGCCUGGUAGCGGGGGAUAACUAUUGGAAACGAUAGCUAAUACCGCAUAAGAGUAGAUGUUGCAUGACAUUUGCUUAAAAGGUGCAAUUGCAUCACUACCAGAUGGACCUGCGUUGUAUUAGCUAGUUGGUGAGGUAACGGCUCACCAAGGCAACGAUACAUAGCCGACCUGAGAGGGUGAUCGGCCACACUGGGACUGAGACACGGCCCAGACUCCUACGGGAGGCAGCAGUAGGGAAUCUUCGGCAAUGGACGGAAGUCUGACCGAGCAACGCCGCGUGAGUGAAGAAGGUUUUCGGUAUCGUAAAGCUCUGUUGUAAGAGAAAGAAACGAGUGUGAGAAGUGGAAAAGUU